This 253-nucleotide ribosomal RNA is filed under the name uncultured bacterium. Its description in RNAcentral is "partial 16S ribosomal RNA". It matches the Rfam family "Bacterial small subunit ribosomal RNA", at positions 524 to 776 of the family's 1533-position model. The record is from RNAcentral.
UACAGAGGUCCCAAGCGUUGUUCGGAUUUACUGGGCGUAAAGGGUGCGUAGGUGGCGAGGUAAGUUCGAUGUGAAAUCUCCGAGCUCAACUCGGAAAUGGCAUUGAAUACUAUCCCGCUUGAGGGUCGGAGGGGAGACUGGAAUUCUCGGUGUAGCAGUGAAAUGUGUAGAGAUCGGGAGGAACACCGGUGGCGAAGGCGGGUCUCUGGGCAUCUCCUGACGCUGAGACGCGAAAGCGUGGGGAGCAAACAGG